GCCAAUGAUGCAGCCACGACUCAAUCACAGCAGCUGGAAUAUGAGUUCAAGAGCAGGAAAAGGGAAUCUGGCUUUUUCAGUUGCCAGUGCCAGAAACCGAACUCCAAUGAACUCAAGGAAAAUGGAGUAUGGGACAAGGAGUGCUCAGGGAACAUGACCUCUGGCAGUUCAGGACUCAAACAUUGAUGGCCCCAGUCCUGGAGAGGAAAAGGGAUCUCUCUAUUCAGGGAUAGAAGCAGCUGUAACCAGAUGAGCUUAACCUGAGCUCAACACAGAUAAAUUUGUGACUGCAAAGAAG
Molecule: long non-coding RNA, 298 nt
Organism: Myotis lucifugus (little brown bat)
Lineage: Eukaryota; Metazoa; Chordata; Mammalia; Chiroptera; Vespertilionidae
Exons: 4
Source: RefSeq, a predicted model, not a curated record